AGCUCCGGAGUCCUGAGGUAACUAGGGUGAAUUUUCACCUAACAUGGAUAGCGCUCUGACAGACGGUCUGCAGAAUUUAACAGAUCAGGCCUCAAUGAACAACUUCAGCAUACAAAGAUCCUCCACCUGAAGACUGGCACCUAUCUUCCUGCCAUUAUUAGACAUUUGAUUUCUCACAUCCAAAUUAACAAUUAAACAAAUAUUAUAGCA
This is a long non-coding RNA of Clupea harengus (Atlantic herring), 210 nucleotides long. RefSeq lists it as uncharacterized. Lineage: Eukaryota; Metazoa; Chordata; Actinopteri; Clupeiformes; Clupeidae. The record is from RefSeq and is a predicted model, not a curated record. The transcript has 2 exons.